UACGUAGGGGGCAAGCGUUGUCCGGAUUUAUUGGGCGUAAAGAGCGUGUAGGCGGUCUGAAAGGUCAGCUGUGAAAACUCGAGGCUCAACCUCGAGACGUCGGUUGAAACCGUCUGGCUAGAGUCCGGAAGAGGAGUGUGGAAUUCCCGGUGUAGCGGUGAAAUGCGCAGAUAUCGGGAGGAACACCAGAGGCGAAGGCGGCGACCUGGACAAGUACUGACACUCAGCUACGAAAGCGUGGGGAGCAAACAGG
This 253-nucleotide ribosomal RNA is filed under the name uncultured bacterium. RNAcentral's name for it is "partial 16S ribosomal RNA". It matches the Rfam family "Bacterial small subunit ribosomal RNA", at positions 524 to 776 of the family's 1533-position model. The record is from RNAcentral.